Molecule: long non-coding RNA, 681 nt
Organism: Cucumis sativus (cucumber)
Lineage: Eukaryota; Viridiplantae; Streptophyta; Magnoliopsida; Cucurbitales; Cucurbitaceae
Exons: 3
Source: RefSeq, a predicted model, not a curated record
UUAAAAAAUUAGGAAAAAAGAAAAGUAGAAAAUAGGAAGAUACGGCGUUCUUACUACUUCCCCUCCGAUCGCGAAAGAAGUCAUCGUCUAUCAUUCGCCCCCAUCAGUGGCAGCCUUCGGAACGACGGUUUUUUACUCUCCUCAGACCAAAUUCACGAUGACUGAAGCCAUUGAACAACCAUUUAGGCCUCGUGAAAAACUUAUUGAAAGGCAAAAGCUUUUUCAGAGCAUUCAUAAGCACACAUAUCUUAAAGGCCCAUUGGAUAAAGUCACCUCUGUUGCCAUUCCAAUCGCUUUGGCAGCUUCAUCGUUGUAUCUUAUUGGACGGGGGAUCUAUAACAUGUCACAUGGAAUUGGGAAGAAAGAAUGAGGUUAUAGUCUCUUUGCAUGUUAAUUUCGAAGAGUUUUUAUGCUCUGGAUCCUUCUUAAUUUUGUUAUUGAAGUAUCUCUGCCUAAUAAUUGCUUAGUUGCAGACUCAACUACCAAUUGAUUUGAAUAUCAUUUUCAGAUUCUUUGUUGUGUGUAUUGGAAUUGUUUGUCUCAGAUUGUUGUUUUUCUCCUUUUUUGAGAAAUUGUGUGGUUGAGUUUGGUUUCCUAAGAUUCCUAAAGUUGUGAUGCCAAUGUAUAUUGAGAUUCUGGAAGCCCAAUGGUGGUGAAAUAAGAAAAUGAGGAUUAGCAACA